CAGCCGCCACGGGAAUACGAAGGGGGCUAGCGUUGUUCGGAUUUACUGGGCGUAAAGCGCACGUAGGCGGACUUUUAAGUCAGGGGUGAAAUCCCGGGGCUCAACCCCGGAACUGCCUUUGAUACUGGAAGUCUUGAGUAUGGUAGAGGUGAGUGGAAUUCCGAGUGUAGAGGUGAAAUUCGUAGAUAUUCGGAGGAACACCAGUGGCGAAGGCGGCUCACUGGACAAAGACUGACGCUCAGGUGCGAAAGCGUGGGGAGCAAACAGGAUUAGAUACCCGAGUAGUCCCUGUCUCUUAUAC
This 301-nucleotide ribosomal RNA is filed under the name uncultured bacterium. Its description in RNAcentral is "partial 16S ribosomal RNA". It matches the Rfam family "Bacterial small subunit ribosomal RNA", at positions 509 to 807 of the family's 1533-position model. The record is from RNAcentral.